Molecule: long non-coding RNA, 204 nt
Filed under: Elaeis guineensis (African oil palm)
Lineage: Eukaryota; Viridiplantae; Streptophyta; Magnoliopsida; Arecales; Arecaceae
Description: long non-coding RNA (EGUI_LNC037750)
Source: RNAcentral
UGAACCUCUCAAUUAUGUUGUCAUGAUCUUUUUCUCUUGAUCAUUAGAUCACAUCUAGCUGAGAACCAAUCUCUAAUACCACUUGUUGCCCAGCUAGACAACUCAAGAGAAGAGGGGAGGUGAAUUGGAUUAUUAAAAUUUUUAACUAUAGAGUACAGUAAAUAAAUGCUAAACUAAAAAUAGAUGAAAUAAAUGAGGAUACAC